This 896-nucleotide long non-coding RNA is filed under the name Homo sapiens (human). Its description in RNAcentral is "non-protein coding lnc-SNX20-1:2". Lineage: Eukaryota; Metazoa; Chordata; Mammalia; Primates; Hominidae. The record is from RNAcentral.
UUCUACUCCUGUCCCUCUUUUGUCACUCCUAUCUUCCUGUUUUCCAGGCUUCAUGACCACACUGCUGUAGGAAGCCAUAAGUUGGAAAUCAACGGGCCUGGCUUGAAGUGUGGCCUUAGGCAACACCGUUCUCAUCUACAUCUGGAUUCUCCAACAAAGCUGGGAAAAAAACGAUCCAAGGGAAGCCAAUCAAAGAGCCUGGAUUGCCAGUCUUCCCUGCUGCGAUCUCCGCCUGCGAUUCUCCAGGGGAAAUGUCCUUUAUGACCUUACAGCUCACCUGGAACCCUCCACCUAGGGCCCGAGGCAGCACAUCCUCUCGUGCCCGGGCACACACACUGGGCUGGACCACUCACCGGAGUGAAUAAGGAGGCUUGAAGCUGUCCUGGUACAACAAUGGAAUGAAGCGCUAGUCUCAGCUCAGCCACUUGGAAUAUGACUCCAACUCUCACAUUUCUGUGGGGUGUAUUCAUUUCAGCUUUUUGUUUGGUGCUAUGGGGAGGGAAGGGCCCUCAGACUGGCAUCCUUUUUCUUCCAGGAUGAUGAUGAAUAUUAUGAAAGUCUGAGGCUGUUUUUAAAAUUCUGCUCUAAUACGUUGUUUUUCUGUGCAUAAGAAUUAUGUAUUCUUAGCUGCAAAACUGGAAUCCGUCUGCUCAUGGAUAAACUUCUGGCCAUGAGCAUGUACCUUUCAGGUAACUUCCCUAUCAGAGAAGCUUACAAUCAAGAAUCCUACUUCCCUAGUUCCCUACACAGGCCCAGGAGGCUUUUGGUGGUAUCCGCUGGACUUUUGAAAAUUAGGGAAUUUCUCCUACUCUGAACUCUACCAGGAAUCACAUAUCAAGAUCUCAGUACCAUCUUACCUAGACCCUCUUGACCUCUUCUUUCUCCAUAAUCUCUUU